RNAcentral lists this ribosomal RNA (2102 nucleotides) under Helicobacter pylori. Its description in RNAcentral is "partial 23S ribosomal RNA". It matches the Rfam family "Bacterial large subunit ribosomal RNA", at positions 1 to 2128 of the family's 2925-position model. Lineage: Bacteria; Pseudomonadati; Campylobacterota; Epsilonproteobacteria; Campylobacterales; Helicobacteraceae. The record is from RNAcentral.
AAACAAGCUUUUAAGAGCAGAUGGCGGAUGCCUUGCCAAAGAGAGGCGAUGAAGGACGUACUAGACUGCGAUAAGCUAUGCGGAGCUGUCAAGGAGCUUUGAUGCGUAGAUGUCCGAAUGGGGCAACCCAACUAAUAGAGAUAUUAGUUACUCUAAUUUAGAGAGCGAACCUAGUGAAGUGAAACAUCUCAGUAACUAGAGGAAAAGAAAUCAACGAGAUUCCCUAAGUAGUGGCGAGCGAACGGGGAAAAGGGCAAACCGAGUGCUUGCAUUCGGGGUUGAGGACUGCAAUAUCCACAAGAACGCUUUAGCAGAGUUACCUGGAAAGGUAAGCCAUAGAAAGUGAUAGCCUUGUAUGCGACAAGGCGUUCUUAGGUAGCAGGAUCCAGAGUAGGCCAGGACACGAGAAAUCCAGGUUGAAGCCGGGGAGACCACUCUCCAACCCUAAAUACUACUCUUUGAGCGAUAGCGAACAAGUACCGUGAGGGAAAGGUGAAAAGAACCGCAGUGAGCGGAGUGAAAUAGAACCUGAAACCAUCUGCUUACAAUCAUUCAGAGCCCUAUGAUUUAUCAGGGUGAUGGACUGCCUUUUGCAUAAUGAUCCUGCGAGUUGUGGUAUCUGGCAAGGUUAAGCGGAUGCGAAGCCGUAGCGAAAGCGAGUCUUAAUAGGGCGAUCAAGUCAGAUGCUGCAGACCCGAAGCUAAGUGAUCUAUCCAUGGCCAAGUUGAAACGCGUGUAAUAGCGUGUGGAGGACUGAACUCGUACCCAUUGAAACGGGUUGGGAUGAGCUGUGGAUAGGGGUGAAAGGCCAAACAAACUUAGUGAUAGCUGGUUCUCUUCGAAAUAUAUUUAGGUAUAGCCUCAAGUGAUAAUAAAAGGGGGUAGAGCUCUGAUUGGGCUAGGGCUGCUCGCCGCGGUACCAAACCCUAUCAAACUUCAAAUACCUUUUAUCGUAUCUUGGGAGUCAGGCGGUGGGUGAUAAAAUCAAUCGUCAAAAGGGGAACAACCCAGACUACCAAAUAAGGUCCCUAAGUUCUAUUCUGAGUGGAAAAAGAUGUGUGGCUACUCAAACAACCAGGAGGUUGGCUUAGAAGCAGCCAUCCUUUAAAGAAAGCGUAACAGCUCACUGGUCUAGUGGUCAUGCGCUGAAAAUAUAACGGGGCUAAGAUAGACACCGAAUUUGUAGAUUGUGUUAAACACAGUGGUAGAAGAGCGUUCAUACCAGCGUUGAAGGUAUACCGGUAAGGAGUGCUGGAGCGGUAUGAAGUGAGCAUGCAGGAAUGAGUAACGAUAAGAUAUAUGAGAAUUGUAUCCGCCGUAAAUCUAAGGUUUCCUACGCGAUGGUCGUCAUCGUAGGGUUAGUCGGGUCCUAAGCCGAGUCCGAAAGGGGUAGGUGAUGGCAAAUUGGUUAAUAUUCCAAUACCGACUAUGGAGCGUGAUGGGGGGACGCAUAGGGUUAAGCGAGCUAGCUGAUGGAAGCGCUAGUCUAAGGGCGUAGAUUGGAGGGAAGGCAAAUCCACCUCUGUAUUUGAAACCCAAACAGGCUCUUUGAGUCCUUUCAGGACAAAGGGAGAAUCGCUGAUACCGUCGUGCCAAGAAAAGCCUCUAAGCAUAUCCAUAGUCGUCCGUACCGCAAACCGACACAGGUAGAUGAGAUGAGUAUUCUAAGGCGCGUGAAAGAACUCUGGUUAAGGAACUCUGCAAACUAGCACCGUAAGUUCGCGAUAAGGUGUGCCGCAGCAAUGCGGUCUCAGCAAAGAGUCCCUCCCGACUGUUUACCAAAAACACAGCACUUUGCCAACUCGUAAGAGGAAGUAUAAGGUGUGACGCCUGCCCGGUGCUCGAAGGUUAAGAGGAUGCGUCAGUCGCAAGAUGAAGCGUUGAAUUGAAGCCCGAGUAAACGGCGGCCGUAACUAUAACGGUCCUAAGGUAGCGAAAUUCCUUGUCGGUUAAAUACCGACCUGCAUGAAUGGCGUAACGAGAUGGGAGCUGUCUCAACCAGAGAUUCAGUGAAAUUGUAGUGGAGGUGAAAAUUCCUCCUACCCGCGGCAAGACGGAGAGACCCCGUGGACCUUUACUACAACUUAGCACUGCUAACGGGA